RNAcentral lists this transfer RNA (73 nucleotides) under Verrucomicrobiota bacterium. RNAcentral's name for it is "tRNA-Arg". It matches the Rfam family "tRNA". Rfam says of the family: Transfer RNA (tRNA) molecules are approximately 80 nucleotides in length. Their secondary structure includes four short double-helical elements and three loops (D, anti-codon, and T loops). Lineage: Bacteria; Pseudomonadati; Verrucomicrobiota. The record is from RNAcentral.
GUCCUCGUAGCUCAGUGGAUAGAGUGGAAGCCUCCGGAGCUUCAGGUCGUAGGUUCGAAUCCUAUCGAGGACG